AUGGUCCUCCCCGCUGCAGUCCAUCACUCGUCUCGCACCCUGCAGCAGGACCGAGCUCGUCUCGCGCCCGGCAGCAGGACUGACCUUGUCUCGCGCCCGGCAGCAGGACCGAGCUCGUCUCGCGCCCGGCAGCAGGACCGAGCUCGUCUCACGUCCGGCAACAGGACCGAGCUCGUCUCGCGCCUGACAGUAGGAUCAUGCUUGUCUCGCGCCCGGCGGCAGGACCGAGCUCAUCUCGCGCCCCGUGCCAUAGAACGGGUCGAUGGAGGCCAAGUUUGGCCGGCCUAUUGGGACUCGGCACUGGGGGGCGCCCAUGGUUCUUUAGUUGGGCUAGCGGCGGAUCUCGGGUGA
This 351-nucleotide ribosomal RNA is filed under the name Triticum aestivum (bread wheat). RNAcentral's name for it is "partial small subunit ribosomal RNA". The record is from RNAcentral. Lineage: Eukaryota; Viridiplantae; Streptophyta; Magnoliopsida; Poales; Poaceae.